AACUGACACUCCCCAACGGUAGCAAGUCUUGCUCCAACAUUUGGGCGCGGUGCCAUGAC
This is a regulatory RNA element of Shewanella pealeana ATCC 700345, 59 nucleotides long. It matches the Rfam family "Selenocysteine insertion sequence 3". NCBI's taxonomy places the organism in Bacteria, Pseudomonadati, Pseudomonadota, Gammaproteobacteria, Alteromonadales, Shewanellaceae. The record is from Rfam.